UACGUAGGGUGCAAGCGUUGUCCGGAAUUAUUGGGCGUAAAGAGCUCGUAGGCGGUCUGUUGCGUCGGUUGUGAAAACCUGGGGCUCAACUCCAGGCCUGCAAUCGAUACGGGCAGACUAGAGUUCGGUAGGGGAGACUGGAAUUCCUGGUGUAGCGGUGAAAUGCGCAGAUAUCAGGAGGAACACCGGUGGCGAAGGCGGGUCUCUGGGCCGAAACUGACGCUGAGGAGCGAAAGCGUGGGGAGCGAACAGG
Molecule: ribosomal RNA, 253 nt
Filed under: uncultured bacterium
Lineage: Bacteria
Description: partial 16S ribosomal RNA
Rfam family: Bacterial small subunit ribosomal RNA
Source: RNAcentral